Molecule: ribosomal RNA, 845 nt
Filed under: Streptomyces atrovirens
Lineage: Bacteria; Bacillati; Actinomycetota; Actinomycetes; Kitasatosporales; Streptomycetaceae
Description: bacterial SSU rRNA
Rfam family: Bacterial small subunit ribosomal RNA
Source: RNAcentral
AGAGUUUGGAUCCUGGCUCAGGACGAACGCUGGCGGCGUGCUUAACACAUGCAAGUCGAACGAUGAACCACUUCGGUGGGGAUUAGUGGCGAACGGGUGAGUAACACGUGGGCAAUCUGCCCUGCACUCUGGGACAAGCCCUGGAAACGGGGUCUAAUACCGGAUACUGACCCGCCUGGGCAUCCAGGCGGUUCGAAAGCUCCGGCGGUGCAGGAUGAGCCCGCGGCCUAUCAGCUUGUUGGUGAGGUAACGGCUCACCAAGGCGACGACGGGUAGCCGGCCUGAGAGGGCGACCGGCCACACUGGGACUGAGACACGGCCCAGACUCCUACGGGAGGCAGCAGUGGGGAAUAUUGCACAAUGGGCGCAAGCCUGAUGCAGCGACGCCGCGUGAGGGAUGACGGCCUUCGGGUUGUAAACCUCUUUCAGCAGGGAAGAAGCGCAAGUGACGGUACCUGCAGAAGAAGCGCCGGCUAACUACGUGCCAGCAGCCGCGGUAAUACGUAGGGCGCGAGCGUUGUCCGGAAUUAUUGGGCGUAAAGAGCUCGUAGGCGGCUUGUCGCGUCGGUUGUGAAAGCCCGGGGCUUAACCCCGGGUCUGCAGUCGAUACGGGCAGGCUAGAGUUCGGUAGGGGAGAUCGGAAUUCCUGGUGUAGCGGUGAAAUGCGCAGAUAUCAGGAGGAACACCGGUGGCGAAGGCGGAUCUCUGGGCCGAUACUGACGCUGAGGAGCGAAAGCGUGGGGAGCGAACAGGAUUAGAUACCCUGGUAGUCCACGCCGUAAACGGUGGGCACUAGGUGUGGGCGACAUUCCACGUCGUCCGUGCCGCAGCUAACGCAUUAAGUG